ACUUUCCCUCCCUCUCCUCCUUCUUUCAUUUUCAUGACCUUCUUAUUGCAAAGAGAACGAAACCACAUUACUCCUUCUUCAUGACUCACAAAGCCAAGUGGAAUCAUUACCCACUCCCUAUCUUCCACUCACACUCACCUUUGAGACAAUCAUUAAGCUAGGAGGUGAGAAGAUUUUAUUCUUUCUUUGAACCAUUUAGGAGUCAUCGUGAAGCUUGAGAAAGGAAGGAGAUUUUUCCACUGUUGGGAGCUUGAAGCUUCAUAUAUUUGUGCUUUAAAUAUCAGAGGAAUAUUGACUCUAGUUAUGAUUUUGAGUUGGAACCACCAUUGGAACCCAUUUUGGGAUAGGGUUCUAAUCUUGAUAUUUCAAGAAUUGGGGGGUUCUCAUGGAUGAGGGAUUGGUCUAUAUCGAAGAAAGGAUCAUGCUUAGCCACUAAGGCUAAUCCUAUAUUUUUUUAUGUUAACUUGUCUUUUUGGGGUUUUACUUGUAAAGUUUAGGGGUAUAGUUACUUGUAAAACCAUUUCUUUUGGAAAAGCUUGUAGAUGUUUUAAUGACUUGUAAUAUAGGUUUGUAUUGAUGAAUGCAUGAAUGAUAUAAUUUGGGAUGUAAUGUGCUUAAAAUCAAAAAGAUGUAUAUAUACAAGAUGUGAU
This is a long non-coding RNA of Gastrolobium bilobum, 650 nucleotides long. RefSeq lists it as uncharacterized. The transcript is spliced from 3 exons. The record is from RefSeq and is a predicted model, not a curated record. Lineage: Eukaryota; Viridiplantae; Streptophyta; Magnoliopsida; Fabales; Fabaceae.